RNAcentral lists this ribosomal RNA (834 nucleotides) under uncultured archaeon. RNAcentral's name for it is "bacterial SSU rRNA". It matches the Rfam family "Archaeal small subunit ribosomal RNA", at positions 21 to 859 of the family's 1478-position model. The record is from RNAcentral.
AGGUUACUGCUAUCGAGGUUCGACUAAGCCAUGCGAGUCGAAUGUAGCAAUACAUGGCGUACUGCUCAGUAACACGUGGACAACCUACCCUUAGGCCUGGGAUAACCCCGGGAAACUGGGAAUAAUACCGGAUAUCUCGCGAAUGCUGGAAUGCGUCGCGAUAGAAAGCUCCGGCGCCUAAGGAUGGGUCUGCGGCCUAUCAGGGUAGUAGUGGGUGUAACGUACCUACUAGCCUACGACGGGUACGGGUUGUGAGAGCAAGAGCCCGGAGAUGGAUUCUGAGACACGAAUCCAGGCCCUACGGGGUGCAGCAGGCGCGAAAACUUUACAAUGCUGGAAACAGCGAUAAGGGGACCUCGAGUGCCAGGAUACAAUCCUGGCUGUCGUAAUGCCUAAAAAGCAUUGCAUAGCAAGGGCCGGGCAAGACCGGUGCCAGCCGCCGCGGUAACACCGGCGGCUCGAGUGGUAACCGCUAUUAUUGGGUCUAAAGGGUCUGUAGCCGGCUGACUAAGUCUCUUGGGAAAUCUGACAGCUUAACUGUCAGGCUUUCAGGAGAUACUGAUCGGCUCGAGACCGGGAGAGGUGAGAGGUACCUCAGGGGUAGGGGUGAAAUCUUGUAAUCCUUGAGGGACCACCAGUGGCGAAGGCGUCUCACCAGAACGGAUCUGACGGCAAGGGACGAAAGCUAGGGGCACGAACCGGAUUAGAUACCCGGGUAGUCCUAGCCGUAAACGAUACUCGCUAGGUGUCGGCCACGGUGCGACCGUGGUCGGUGCCGUAGGGAAGCCGUGAAGCGAGCCACCUGGGAAGUACGGCCGCAAGGCUGAAACUUAA